UACGUAGGGGGCAAGCGUUGUCCGGAAUCAUUGGGCGUAAAGCGCGCGUAGGCGGUUCGGUCAGUCUGCUGUGAAAGUCAAAGGCUCAACCUUUGAAUGCCGGUGGAUACUGUCGAGCUAGAGUCCGGAAGAGGCGAGUGGAAUUCCUGGUGUAGCGGUGGAAUGCGCAGAUAUCAGGAGGAACACCAACGGCGAAGGCAGCUCGCUGGGACGGUACUGACGCUAAGGCGCGAAAGCGUGGGGAGCGAACAGG
Molecule: ribosomal RNA, 253 nt
Filed under: uncultured bacterium
Lineage: Bacteria
Description: partial 16S ribosomal RNA
Rfam family: Bacterial small subunit ribosomal RNA
Source: RNAcentral